RNAcentral lists this ribosomal RNA (357 nucleotides) under uncultured bacterium. RNAcentral's name for it is "partial 16S ribosomal RNA". It matches the Rfam family "Bacterial small subunit ribosomal RNA", at positions 338 to 693 of the family's 1533-position model. The record is from RNAcentral.
CCUACGGGCGGCAGCAGUGAGGAAUAUUGGUCAAUGGGAGAGAUCCUGAACCAGCCAAGCCGCGUGAGGGAAGACGGCCCUAUGGGUUGUAAACCUCUUUUGUCGGAGGACAAAACCCGGGACGUGUCCCGGACUGCGUGUAUCCGAAGAAAAAGCAUCGGCAAACUCCGUGCCAGCAGCCGCGGUAAUACGGCGGAUGCGAGCGUUAUCCGGAUUUAUUGGGUUAACAGGGUGCGUCAGGGGUCCGUUAAGUCAGCGGUAAAAUUGCGGGGCUAAACCCCGUCGAGCCGUGGUAUCUGGCGGACUUGAGGUGGCGAGAAGUAGGAGGAAUGCGGGGUGUAGCGGUGAAAUGGAUAG